GUGUACCUCGCAGCCCUUCUCCUUUAAUUCUUUGGGUGUUGGUCCACUUGGAAGGAACUUAUAAACAUCUGAUCUCAUUUUUUCUUAAAUGUUCCCAUCCAUUUCUCAUCACCAGUGAAACUGAUCAAUGCACUAUGUUACUAUUCUGAUUAGUGAUGUAAACUAAAAGAUAGUCUUGAGAUAGCAAAAAAGAGAGUUAUUUCUCGACUCUAUGAGUGGUUGGUUUGGUUACUCAUUUUUUCUUAAAU
This 248-nucleotide unclassified non-coding RNA is filed under the name Hevea brasiliensis (rubber tree). Lineage: Eukaryota; Viridiplantae; Streptophyta; Magnoliopsida; Malpighiales; Euphorbiaceae. The record is from RNAcentral.